This 207-nucleotide long non-coding RNA is filed under the name Lathyrus oleraceus (garden pea). RNAcentral describes it as "Pisum sativum (pea) long non-coding RNA (PSAT_LNC020517)". Lineage: Eukaryota; Viridiplantae; Streptophyta; Magnoliopsida; Fabales; Fabaceae. The record is from RNAcentral.
GAGCAUAUUGCUCUCUAAGUAACGGUAAAUAUGUAUUACCUGAGAAUCUAUUUUCCCUUUAAGGGGGUAAUGUAUUUAUAGAGGCCCUAGUACCCAGGGUUACCUUGGGAAAGACUACUACCCAUUCAGUCAAAUGAUAGACAGUUGAAUCCCUAUUUCCAAUGGUGGUAGGUGCCAGUGGUGACUCUAACUUUGUUUUUUCCCAAG